Molecule: ribosomal RNA, 577 nt
Filed under: Neofusicoccum parvum
Lineage: Eukaryota; Fungi; Ascomycota; Dothideomycetes; Botryosphaeriales; Botryosphaeriaceae
Description: eukaryotic LSU rRNA
Rfam family: 5.8S ribosomal RNA (bases 217-370)
Source: RNAcentral
ACAAGGUUUCCGUAGGUGAACCUGCGGAAGGAUCAUUACCGAGUUGAUUCGAGCUCCGGCUCGACUCUCCCACCCAAUGUGUACCUACCUCUGUUGCUUUGGCGGGCCGCGGUCCUCCGCACCGGCGCCCUUCGGGGGGCUGGCCAGCGCCCGCCAGAGGACCAUAAAACUCCAGUCAGUGAACUUCGCAGUCUGAAAAACAAGUUAAUAAACUAAAACUUUCAACAACGGAUCUCUUGGUUCUGGCAUCGAUGAAGAACGCAGCGAAAUGCGAUAAGUAAUGUGAAUUGCAGAAUUCAGUGAAUCAUCGAAUCUUUGAACGCACAUUGCGCCCCUUGGUAUUCCGAGGGGCAUGCCUGUUCGAGCGUCAUUUCAACCCUCAAGCUCUGCUUGGUAUUGGGCCCCGUCCUCCACGGACGCGCCUUAAAGACCUCGGCGGUGGCGUCUUGCCUCAAGCGUAGUAGAAAACACCUCGCUUUGGAGCGCACGGCGUCGCCCGCCGGACGAACCUUUGAAUUAUUUCUCAAGGUUGACCUCGGAUCAGGUAGGGAUACCCGCUGAACUUAAGCAUAUCAUA